Molecule: ribosomal RNA, 259 nt
Filed under: uncultured bacterium
Lineage: Bacteria
Description: partial 16S ribosomal RNA
Rfam family: Bacterial small subunit ribosomal RNA
Source: RNAcentral
UACGUAGGGUGCAAGCGUUGUCCGGAAUUAUUGGGCGUAAAGAGCUCGUAGGCGGUUCGUCACGUCGGCUGUGAAAUCCCGAGGCUCAACCUCGGGUCUGCAGUCGAUACGGGCGGACUUGAGUACUGCAGGGGAGACUGGAAUUCCUGGUGUAGCGGUGAAAUGCGCAGAUAUCAGGAGGAACACCCGGUGGCGAAGGCGGGGACUCUGGGGCCGAAUACUGACGCUGAGGAGCGAAAAGCGUGGGGAGCAAACAGGG